RNAcentral lists this transfer RNA (76 nucleotides) under Klebsiella pneumoniae. Its description in RNAcentral is "tRNA-OTHER". It matches the Rfam family "tRNA". Rfam says of the family: Transfer RNA (tRNA) molecules are approximately 80 nucleotides in length. Their secondary structure includes four short double-helical elements and three loops (D, anti-codon, and T loops). Further hydrogen bonds mediate the characteristic L-shaped molecular structure. tRNAs have two regions of fundamental functional importance: the anti-codon, which is responsible for specific mRNA codon recognition, and the 3' end, to which the tRNAs corresponding amino acid is attached (by aminoacyl-tRNA synthetases). tRNAs cope with the degeneracy of the genetic code in two manners: having more than one tRNA (with a specific anti-codon) for a particular amino acid; and 'wobble' base-pairing, i.e. permitting non-standard base-pairing at the 3rd anti-codon position. The record is from RNAcentral. Lineage: Bacteria; Pseudomonadati; Pseudomonadota; Gammaproteobacteria; Enterobacterales; Enterobacteriaceae.
GCAUCCGUAGCUCAGCUGGAUAGAGUACUCGGCUACGAACGAGCGGUCGGAGGUUCGAAUCCUCCCGGAUGCACCA